AAGUGUCUCUCUCAAGAGUCGGGAGAGUAGUUUGAGAUGGCUAGAGCGGGAUAACCGGAGGUCAAGCAGGCCACCACAAUUGCGGCACGCGGACGUGGGUUCAGUGACCGAGGGGUGACCCAGUGCCUGAGUCUCUGCCUCCUGCUAUCUACAAGCCGCUUUGCUUCUUGAUUUCCUUCUUUCCUGUAUUUUUUUCUUGUUUUUUGUAUUUUUUUUUCCUUCUAUGAUGCGCUGCUAAAAACUCUCUGCGUUGUGAAUGGCUAGCGUUUAGAAACUCGAAAACCCCAUUUCUACAGCCCACAAAGAGCAAUGGUAGAGAGAGUGAUAUUCUUUUGUCAACUGGGGAACAGGGAAAUGGAACUACACAGACAGUAGGUAGAGAGACAGAGAGGGAGAGAUACAGAUUGGUCACCAACAAUUUUGUAGAAGAAGAGAGAAUCAUAAGAGAAAGAAAGGGUUUUUGGUCCAGGUGAGAGUUAUGUUUCUUUUUUGGACUGAAAAAGAGAGAGAAGCCCACAUUUGAUAUGAGGAAGAGAAGAUUUGAAUCUGUUAUUCAUUUUCCAUAAGCCAUGGUCGAGCAGCGAAUUGUAGUACCAUUCGCUUUUCUGCUAUUGCUGUUGAAGUUUCAGCCUGCAUUUCAGCAAGUGGAGACACUGAGUUCCUCUGUUGAACAAGCUGCUCUACUUGAACUCAGAUCCUCUUUGGGUAUAAGAAGCAAGGAGUGGCCUAGAAAAGCAAAUCCUUGCCUGAAUUGGACGGGUAUCACGUGCCAGAACGGGAGUGUUUCUGGGAUUAACAUUUCUGGUUUUAGAAGGACAAGGCU
RNAcentral lists this unclassified non-coding RNA (823 nucleotides) under Hevea brasiliensis (rubber tree). Lineage: Eukaryota; Viridiplantae; Streptophyta; Magnoliopsida; Malpighiales; Euphorbiaceae. The record is from RNAcentral.